Molecule: ribosomal RNA, 253 nt
Filed under: uncultured bacterium
Lineage: Bacteria
Description: partial 16S ribosomal RNA
Rfam family: Bacterial small subunit ribosomal RNA
Source: RNAcentral
UACGUAGGCAGUGAGCGUUGUUCGGAGUUACUGGGCGUAAAGAGUGCGUAGGCGGUUUUCUAAGUUUGGUGUGAAAUCUCCCGGCUUAACUGGGAGGGUGCGCCGAAGACUGGAAGGCUUGAGUAUGGGAGAGGUAAGCGGAAUUCCUGGUGUAGCGGUGAAAUGCGUAGAUAUCAGGAGGAACACCUGCGGUGUAGACGGCUUACUGGACCAUAACUGACGCUGAGGCACGAAAGCGUGGGUAGCAAACAGG